Molecule: ribosomal RNA, 497 nt
Filed under: uncultured bacterium
Lineage: Bacteria
Description: partial 16S ribosomal RNA
Rfam family: Bacterial small subunit ribosomal RNA
Source: RNAcentral
GAUGAACGCUGGCGGCGUGCCUAAUACAUGCAAGUCGAGCGAACGGACGAGAAGCUUGCUCUUCUGAUGUUAGCGGCGGACGGGUGAGUAACACGUGGAUAAUAUCCCUAUAAGACUGUGAUAACUUCGGGAAACCGGACCCAACACCGCGUAAUUUUUUCAACAUCACGUUUUAACGGAGCAUUACGGUCUUGUCGACACUACUAGAUGGAUCCGUGCUCCAUCAGCAAGUUGGCAAGGUAACGGCUUACCAAGGCAACGAUGCAUAGCCGACAUCAGAGGGAGGACGGCCACACGGGAAGUGAGACACGGUCCAGACUCUUGAGGGAGGCAGCGGUAGGGAAUCUUACGCGAUGGAGGAAAGCCUGACAGAGCAACGCCGAGUGAGUGAUGAUGGUGUGAGGAUGGUAAAGCUCUGUAAUUAGGGAUGAACUAAUGUGCAGGUAACUGUGCAGAACUUGACGGUACCUAAUCAGAAAGCCACGGCUAACUACGUG